UAACGCGUGAGCAACCUGCCCUUCGGAGGGGGAUAGUGUCUGGAAACGGACAGUAAUACCGCAUAACGUAUUUUUACCGCAUGAUAGAAAUACCAAAACUGAGGUGCCGAAGGAUGGGCUCGCGUUGGAUUAGAUAGUUGGUGGGGUAACGGCCUACCAAGUCAACGAUCCAUAGCCGGACUGAGAGGUUGAACGGCCACAUUGGGACUGAGACACGGCCCAGACUCCUACGGGAGGCAGCAGUGGGGAAUAUUGCACAAUGGGGGAAACCCUGAUGCAGCAACGCCGCGUGAAGGAAGACGGUUUUCGGAUUGUAAACUUCUGUUCUUAGUGAAGAAAAAUGACGGUAGCUAAGGAGCAAGCCACGGCUAACUACGUGCCAGCAGCCGCGGUAAUACGUAGGUGGCAAGCGUUGUCCGGAAUUACUGGGUGUAAAGGGAGCGCAGGCGGGAAGCCAAGUCAGCUGUGAAAACUACGGGCUUAACUUGUAGACUGCAGUUGAAACUGGUUUUCUUGAGUGAAGUAGAGGUUGGCGGAAUUCCGAGUGUAGCGGUGAAAUGCGUAGAUAUUCGGAGGAACACCGGUGGCGAAGGCGGCCAACUGGGCUUUAACUGACGCUGAGGCUCGAAAGUGUGGGGAGCAAACAGGAUUAGAUACCCUGGUAGUCCACACUGUAAACGAUGAUAACUAGGUGUGGGGGGU
This 702-nucleotide ribosomal RNA is filed under the name uncultured bacterium. RNAcentral's name for it is "bacterial SSU rRNA". It matches the Rfam family "Bacterial small subunit ribosomal RNA", at positions 111 to 830 of the family's 1533-position model. The record is from RNAcentral.